GAUGAACGCUGGCGGCGUGCUUAACACGUGCAAGUCGAACGAUUAAAGCCCCUUCGGGGGUGUAUAGAGCGGCGAACGGGUGAGUAACACGUGGGCAAUCUGCCCCUCACUUCGGGAUAACUCAGGGAAACCUGAGCUAAUACCGGAUACUCCGGGAUGGUCGCAUGGCCAACCCGGGAAAGUCCCGGCGGUGAGGGAUGAGCCAGCGGCCCAUUAGCUUGUUGGUGAGGUAACGGCUCACCAAGGCGACGAUGGGUAGCCGAGCUGAGAGGCUGAUCGGCCACACUGGGACUGAGACACGGCCCAGACUCCUACGGGAGGCAGCAGUGGGGAAUCUUGCGCAAUGGGCGAAAGCCUGACGCAGCAACGCCGCGUGCGGGAUGAAGGCCUUCGGGUUGUAAACCGCUUUCAGCAGGGAUGAAAAUGACAGUACCUGCAGAAGAAGCCCCGGCUAACUACGUGCCAGCAGCCGCCUAA
This 477-nucleotide ribosomal RNA is filed under the name uncultured bacterium. RNAcentral describes it as "partial 16S ribosomal RNA". It matches the Rfam family "Bacterial small subunit ribosomal RNA", at positions 28 to 522 of the family's 1533-position model. The record is from RNAcentral.